UACGAAGGGGGAUCGCGUUGUUCGGAAUUACUGGGCGUAAAGCGCACGUAGGCGGACUCUUAAGUCAGGGGUGAAAUCCCGGGGCUCAACCUCGGAACUGCCUUUGAUACUGUGAGUCUCGAGACUGGAAGAGGUGAGUGGAAUUCCUAGUGUAGAGGUGAAAUUCGUAGAUAUUAGGAAGAACACCAGUGGCGAAGGCGGCUCACUGGUCCGGUUCGGACGCUGAGGUGCGAAAGCGUGGGGAGCAAACAGG
Molecule: ribosomal RNA, 253 nt
Filed under: uncultured bacterium
Lineage: Bacteria
Description: partial 16S ribosomal RNA
Rfam family: Bacterial small subunit ribosomal RNA
Source: RNAcentral